UACGGGGGGGGCAAGCGUUGUUCGGAUUUACUGGGCGUAAAGGGAGUGUAGGCGGUUGGCCAAGUCGGAUGUGAAAGCUUCACCACUCAACGGGAAGAGGUCAUCCGAAACUGGUCGGCUAGAGUAGGGUAGAGGCAAGCGGAAUUCCUGGUGUAGCGGUGGAAUGUGUAGAUAUCAGGAAGAACAUCGGUGGCGAAGGCGGCUUGCUGGGCCCUUACUGACGCUGAGACUCGAAAGCGUGGGGAGCAAACGGG
Molecule: ribosomal RNA, 254 nt
Filed under: uncultured bacterium
Lineage: Bacteria
Description: partial 16S ribosomal RNA
Rfam family: Bacterial small subunit ribosomal RNA
Source: RNAcentral